GUCUAUGGCCAUGCCACUCUGAACAAGCCCAAUCCUGUCUGAUCUUGGAAGCUAAGCAGGGUUGGGCCUGAUUAGUACUUGGAUGGGAGACCAACUAGGAAGACCAGGUGCUGUAGAUG
This 119-nucleotide ribosomal RNA is filed under the name Pteropus alecto (black flying fox). The record is from RNAcentral. Lineage: Eukaryota; Metazoa; Chordata; Mammalia; Chiroptera; Pteropodidae.